This is a long non-coding RNA of Bombus terrestris (buff-tailed bumblebee), 818 nucleotides long. RefSeq lists it as uncharacterized. The record is from RefSeq and is a predicted model, not a curated record. The transcript has 2 exons. NCBI's taxonomy places the organism in Eukaryota, Metazoa, Arthropoda, Insecta, Hymenoptera, Apidae.
UAUUUACUUGAUACUUCUAUCUGUCAACUAUAGCUGCCGACGGAUACUUUCGUUUGAAGACAACUUUGUUCAAUUAAAAGUUAAAAAAGAAAGGAAGAGAGUGUACAAUUUCGAAUCUCCUACCUCGUUUGAUCUGUGGAGUCGAUCAGGUGUGAGUAUGGUUUGGCGAUGAAUCGGUUUUAACAAUUAAAUUUUGUUUCGCGAUUAGUUAUACGAUGUUUCGGAUUUUCGAACUUAAUUAACAAUUUUAUUAAACGGAAUUACAAUAUGUACUAGAUUGUUUCUUUGACGCAGACGGAUCGACUCGUGAGUGAACAAAAGAAUAAAUGAAUCACCGAAUCUCAAGUGGUCGUAUUUUGCUGAUGCUGCGUCUGCGUUCUUUCCAUGACCUUCGUUACUGAUACCAGUGGUAUGUGCCGGUCGCGUGGCUGCUUGGCCUUGCUGAGGUUGCAUUUUGUGUGUCCGGUGAUCGCCCUGCUGAUGUCGGUGAAUCGUACGAGGUGCUUGCCGAGUCUUUGCACGUGUUGUAUGCUCUAUUUCUUAUGUUCCCCAAGGUUAUUGUGAGUUCAAGGACAAGUUUUAAUACGUCAUUCUAUAAGAGGUGGUGCGUGGUGGUAGUUUCUAUUUGUUGAUUUGCUUGCCGAGUUUUAGGUUAGUUUUCCUUUUUAUAAAAUGUUUGUUCGUAGCAAUAAGUAAUUUUGAUAUUGCUUGAUGUUUGUAUGAUCUGUAGUGCUAAUUUGUUUGUUGUAUUUUCAUAUUUCUUUUAUGAAUACAGGUUAUAUUGAAUCAUGGAUACUGACAUGUCUGGAGCUGUAGAG